RNAcentral lists this unclassified non-coding RNA (269 nucleotides) under fungal sp. Its description in RNAcentral is "partial internal transcribed spacer region". The stretch from base 1 to 46 matches the Rfam family "Eukaryotic small subunit ribosomal RNA", at positions 1786 to 1831 of the family's 1831-position model. Lineage: Eukaryota; Fungi. The record is from RNAcentral.
AAGUCGUAACAAGGUUUCCGUAGGUGAACCUGCGGAAGGAUCAUUACAAAUCCAUCACGUCUCCUUAUCCGAGACCACGUUGAAAUGUUCCCCAGCAGCGUGAGCGAGGCAGCUUGUCUGUCUGUGUCGCACUGCUGGGCUGAUAAACUAGUGUUUCCUUGUUGCUCAAUUGUAUGCUUGUGCACGGGUGCGCAUCGGUGACGGUGUUGCUGCUCUGGUCACAUGAAAACAACUUAGUACAACUUAUAACAAUGGAUCUCUAGGCUCUU